CAAGGUGGAGCUUGAUUAGUUAAGCGUCUCAUUUACACUGAGAAAUUGUCUGUGCGAGUCAGAUUAUCUUGA
RNAcentral lists this transfer RNA (72 nucleotides) under Paragnetina indentata. RNAcentral describes it as "tRNA-Val". It matches the Rfam family "tRNA". Rfam says of the family: Transfer RNA (tRNA) molecules are approximately 80 nucleotides in length. The record is from RNAcentral. Lineage: Eukaryota; Metazoa; Arthropoda; Insecta; Plecoptera; Perlidae.